Molecule: small nuclear RNA, 116 nt
Organism: Bombina bombina (fire-bellied toad)
Lineage: Eukaryota; Metazoa; Chordata; Amphibia; Anura; Bombinatoridae
Product: U5 spliceosomal RNA
Exons: 1
Source: RefSeq, a predicted model, not a curated record
AUACUCUGGUUUCCCUUCAGAUAGAAUAAAUAUUUUGCCUUUUUCUAAAGAUUUCCGUGGAGAGGAACAACCAUGAGUUUUCAAUAUUUUUUUGAGGCUCUACCCCAUGCAGGGCU